GGUCGCAUAGCUCAUUGUCGGAAAGAGCGCUCCGCAGUAGGCGGAGAGGUGCAGGUGCAAAUCCUGCUGCGACCC
This 75-nucleotide transfer RNA is filed under the name Candidatus Roizmanbacteria bacterium RIFCSPHIGHO2_02_FULL_43_11. RNAcentral describes it as "tRNA-Tyr". It matches the Rfam family "tRNA". Rfam says of the family: Transfer RNA (tRNA) molecules are approximately 80 nucleotides in length. Their secondary structure includes four short double-helical elements and three loops (D, anti-codon, and T loops). RNAcentral also lists the same sequence under 1 other name. The record is from RNAcentral. Lineage: Bacteria; Candidatus Roizmaniibacteriota.